GAGCUCCCUUUGGCAGCACAUACACUAAAAUUUGAAUGAUACAGAUAAGAUUAUCAUGGCCUCUGCACAAGUAUGACAUGCAAAUUCAUGAAGUGUUCUGUAUUUAA
Monodelphis domestica (gray short-tailed opossum) is the source of this 107-nucleotide small nuclear RNA. NCBI's taxonomy places the organism in Eukaryota, Metazoa, Chordata, Mammalia, Didelphimorphia, Didelphidae. The record is from Ensembl.